AUUGAACGCUGGCGGCAGGCCUAACACAUGCAAGUCGAGCGCGAAAACACUUCGGUGUGAGUAGAGCGGCGGACGGGUGAGUAACGCGUAGGAAUCUACCUAGUAGUGGGGGACAACUCGGGGAAACUCGAGCUAAUACCGCAUAAGCCCUACGGGGGAAAGCGGGGGACCUUCGGGCCUCGCGCUAUUAGAUGAGCCUGCGUUGGAUUAGCUAGUUGGUGGGGUAAAGGCCUACCAAGGCGACGAUCCAUAGCUGGUCUGAGAGGAUGAUCAGCCACACCGGGACUGAGACACGGCCCGGACUCCUACGGGAGGCAGCAGUGGGGAAUAUUGCGCAAUGGGCGAAAGCCUGACGCAGCCAUGCCGCGUGUGUGAAGAAGGCCUUCGGGUUGUAAAGCACUUUCAAUUGGGAGGAAAGGUUCACGGUUAAUAACCGUGAGCUGUGACGUUACCUUUAGAAGAAGCACCGGCUAACUCCGUGCCAGCAGCCGCGGUAAUACGGAGGGUGCGAGCGUUAAUCGGAAUUACUGGGCGUAAAGCGCGCGUAGGUGGUCUGUUAAGUCGGAUGUGAAAGCCCCGGGCUCAACCUGGGAACUGCAUUCGAUACUGGCAGACUAGAGUGCGAGAGAGGGAGGUAGAAUUCCAUGUGUAGCGGUGAAAUGCGUAGAUAUGUGGAGGAAUACCAGUGGCGAAGGCGGCCUCCUGGCUCGACACUGA
RNAcentral lists this ribosomal RNA (717 nucleotides) under bacterium IMCC7496. RNAcentral's name for it is "bacterial SSU rRNA". It matches the Rfam family "Bacterial small subunit ribosomal RNA", at positions 28 to 743 of the family's 1533-position model. The record is from RNAcentral.